CCCGUAAGGCUAGGGGGCCAGAUAAAGCAUGAGGCUUUACUAACCAACGAGCUAAUUUAUCAAACAAGAAGCGAAAAUAGCUAGCAAACGAGCUAGGUGCAGUAACAGGCAAGAUUCAAAUUUGUCUGACGAUUCUUCAUCGCUGAGGCAUAAACAUCAAAGUGAUGUCCAGAGCAAAGAAGAUAUUGAAUUGCAAGAAAUUUCUGUGAAAAAAAUUAGAUUGUCUAGGACAAUAAUUACAAUAAAAUGUGGCAAAAUUACCUUGUCUAAGGUAGGUAACGACAUUAGAAUAUGGCAAAAUUGUGCAAAAUGACAUUGUCUAAGGUAAUGACAGUAAAAUAUGGAAAAAU
This 350-nucleotide long non-coding RNA is filed under the name Nilaparvata lugens (brown planthopper). RNAcentral describes it as "uncharacterized LOC120354834". The record is from RNAcentral. Lineage: Eukaryota; Metazoa; Arthropoda; Insecta; Hemiptera; Delphacidae.